CUGUUGCUGACCGUGUACAGCAUGAGACGACACACCUCCAAGAUGCACUACAGAGAGGACGAUCUGGUGAAACGCACUUUAUUUGUCAACGGGAUCUCCAAGUAUGCAGAGGAGAAGCACAUCAAGCAACACUUUGAACGACCGGCUCUUCCUGUGUUCCAGAAAUACCUCUUUCUCCUGUAGCCUUGUCUGUCUCUUC
Long non-coding RNA from Oncorhynchus keta (chum salmon), 199 nucleotides. RefSeq lists it as uncharacterized. The record is from RefSeq and is a predicted model, not a curated record. The transcript is spliced from 3 exons. NCBI's taxonomy places the organism in Eukaryota, Metazoa, Chordata, Actinopteri, Salmoniformes, Salmonidae.